Molecule: transfer RNA, 98 nt
Filed under: Dendrothele bispora CBS 962.96
Lineage: Eukaryota; Fungi; Basidiomycota; Agaricomycetes; Agaricales
Description: tRNA-Asp
Source: RNAcentral
UCCCUGGUAGUAUAUCGGUUAGUACACGCGCCUGUCAUGUGAUCUGGUUAUAGAAUUGUUGGCCGCGCGAAAGCUGGGUUCGACUCCCAGCCAGGGAG